Triticum urartu is the source of this 5245-nucleotide non-coding RNA. The record is from RefSeq and is a predicted model, not a curated record. Lineage: Eukaryota; Viridiplantae; Streptophyta; Magnoliopsida; Poales; Poaceae.
UCUGUUUCCCUCGCCCCUCUCAAUCUCUCUCUCGUGACGGCGGAACCACGGGGUUGCGCCCCGGCCGCCGGCGGCGACGGAGGAAGCCACCGCGCCGCGCGCGCCUCCUUUCCCUUCCCCCUUCUCUUUCGUAGAGAGGACUAGGCGCGAGCCCCUCCUCUGAUCUGUUGCUCUGUCCCGCACGCCGGGGCAUCGCGCUGCUCCGGUCGCCGGCAACGGCGACGAGCGCCACCGCGCCUCCCUUCCUUUCCUGUGGCAGAGAGAGAGGGUCGGGCUUGCGCCCUCCUCUACUACACUUGCGCCUCGACGACGCCUCCAUCUCUAUUGGAGUAGCGGCUGGGCACGGCUGCGCCGGCCGCUGGCGUGGAUAGCAAACCACCGCGGCGCGCGAUCCCGUUCCUAUUUCCCUUUCUUUUCUGUUAUUUCUCCCUCCACCACCAUAUAAGGCUUCGAGUAGUGGAGAUUCAGGGAAGAACGGCGCCCCUCUGGCCCCCUUGCCGGCGUGUGCGUGCACCCGUAGAUGGGCGCACCGCCGUCAAGCGGUUCAGCGGCGGCGCCAUGUUUCGGCGACCGCGUGGUCUCUUUGCCCCCAAAAGGGGGUGCUGUUCUUCUUCUCGAUGCCUCGGCUUGCCGAUGCACAUCGAGAUCGAGAGGAACGGCGCGGCCAAGACGGCGGAACUCUUUGUCGGCGAGCCCAAGGCCCUGCUCCGGUGAUCUUCUUUGCCCUGUCUAGGGUUCUUCGGGAGGGGGAAAGAUUUUCUUUUGUGUUCUUUUCUACUGAAAAUCCUAAACCAAACCUUGUCUGAUACCAUUGAUAGAACUGUGGAUCGUAUAGGCUUAGGGAUUAGCAGUAGUUCUACCUUCUCGAGCUCCUGGUGCCGGCCAUGGUGCUGGUGAUGGCAGAGAGUAGUGGGGUGGAUGCGGCUGAGAUGUAUGGGCAUUGGCGGCGGCAGAGCUUCCCAUCGCUUAAGUGCCUCCCUCUGGAUCGGAUAUGGUUAGGAGUAGGGAACAAUGGCGGUGACGAACCUCGUACCCUGUGCCCCUGGUCCCCACCUCCUCUUUAUAGCACUACGCAAUAGGGGCCCACCAGCCUUGCUUGGGCUGGACGCCCCCGAUCAGGGCGUGGGUCAAGGGCCCAAUGAGCCGUUGGGCCCAUUGGUGGAGAGAUCAACCUAACAGAUAUUUCCCAAUUCCCCUCAAUCCUAGACCUUCAAAGUGCACACUACUCUCGAUGGCGAUUGGAAUUCAGGUUUCACUUGUGUAACUAUCCGGGGAAAAAUUCCUCAAAAACAACUAGAAGGGGAAAUCAGAUUGACGCACUGAUGAAAUAUAGUGUCUUGGUACCUAUCUAUCAACCAAUCCACCCAUCAUGAUCCUUCCCUCUGAUAAGUUUUGUUUCUCUGAACGUUUGAAACAUGGCUGUUCUCUUCUCGGGCUUUUUAGGAGCGUCUGCUGAGCAAUGUUCUGCUUUCAAUUCCUCAUGUUCCAACAACCAUGACAACAAUUAUGGUUCGCGACUCUGAAGAAUUAUUUGUGCAUCAAUGCUAUUGAACAUAUAAAUGAUGAAAGGGGUGCUAGGCAGAAGCGCGCCAUCCACGUGUCCUCGAUGAAUAGUGGAGAGAAAAAGCGGCCAGUGUGUGCGAUCGGGCAGGGGAAGCGGCAGCGAGAAAAGAAAGAAAAGGGGAAGUGAGCAGGCAAAAGCAGCCAGACCUAGCGCCCCCGCAGCCGCCUCCUCUCCUGCCGCCGCCGCCUCAACCUCGUCUCCUUUCUUGCCCGCCUCCUCUCCUCUCCCCCGGUUCUCCUGGCGCUGCCACCCCUUCUUUCCUCUGUCCCCGCCCCUGCCGCGAGCCCAUCCUCCUCUUCGUGCCGCCGGCUGUCGCGGAGGUGUAGAGCAAGGCACCGAGCCACGGGAGCUCGCCGUGCGCGUGGAGCUCGUCCACCAUCGAGGGCCACCGCACCAGCGAUAACACCGCUAGCUGCCACACGACAUCACCCACGUCUCCUCAUCCCGCUGGCCUCCGCGACGGUCGGUGAUGUAGAGCAGGGCGCCGAGCCGCGGGAGCUCGCCAUGCGUGUGGAACUCGUCCACCACCGAGGCCCCCCGCACCAACGACAACACUGUCAACCACGCCCCUCCUCCCCGGUUCAUUCUCACCUCCAUCAGGCAGGUGUGGAAAUUGUGGAAGUGUCUCAACUCCCGUAACAUGGGAACCCGCGUGUUAUAUAUUGAUUAGACGAGGCCGGCUCUCACAGAGGCAUACAAGAUUACGGUUGUUCAACAACCAGAAAGAUACAUGGAGAGAUAGAGGAGAAUAAACAGAUGAAAAGAUAAACAAGCUAACAACCUGGAUUCUCCUAACUACUCUAACAUGAUAAUGCAUGAUAUAUGUUUAACAGCAGGGUGUGGUGCUGUUUACAAAGGUUGAUUGCAGUAUGCAGCUUUCCGAGUGUGAAGAGGUAUGUGACCAUUUGGCAUUUGGGUGUUUUCCCUUUCCGAUCUGGUGAUGACCAUAGAUAUUGUACUUGGUCUAAGGUUAUUUCCUGUCCAGGAUAAUACGAGUAGAAUUUAAAGCAAGGUAGGUGUGCAGGCUGCUGAUUUGGGGCUUAGCUCAAGCAACUUUUGAUUUCUUGACUGUUUGGUUGAUGUAGCAUUUGUUAAUGAUUGAUUCUCUAGCAAGCUUUGCUCUGUAAUUUUAGAAUUGAUGCUGCCAUAAGUUUUUCCCAUGCUUGCUUCAACUUUCUAUGUCUGGAUGACUAUAUGAACAAGACUCACUAGGUUCUGCAUCAUCAACUAACAACCAACUCCAACAAUUACCCAUGCUGGCUGUCCUAUAACUAACCCAUUUUACAAUUGCUCGCCUUUUCUAGGUAAAGACAACAUAAUCAGCUUGGUUAAUAAAUAGCCGGCUGUCGCGGCGGUGUAGAGCAAGGCACUGAGCCACGAGAGCUCGCCGUGCGCGUGGAGCUCGUCCACCAUCGAGGGCCACCGCACUAGCGACAACACCGCUGGCUGCCACACGACAUCACCCACGUCUCCUCAUCCCGCUGGCCUCCGCGACGGUCGGUGAUGCAGAGCAGGGCGCCGAGUCGCGGGAGCUCGCCAUGCGUGUGGAACUCGUCCACCACCGAGGCCCCGCGCACCAACGACAACACUGUCACCCACGCCCCUCCUCCCCGGUUCAUUCUCACCUCCAUCAGGCAGGUGUGGAAAUUGUGGAAGCGUCUCAACUCCCGUAACAUGGGAGCCCGCGUGUUAUAUAUUGAUUAGGCGAGGCCGGCUCUCACAGAGGCAUACAAAAUUACGGUUGUUCAACAACCAGAGAGAUACAUGGAGAGAUAGAGGAGAAUAAACAGAUGAAAAGAUAAACAAGCUAACAACCUGGAUUCUCCUAACUACUCUAGCAUGAUAAUGCGUGAUAUAUGUUUAACAGCAGGGUGUGGUGCUGUUUACAAAGGUUGAUUGCAGUAUGCAGCUUUCCGAGUGUGAAGAGGUAUGUGACCAUUUGGCAUUUGGGUGUUUUCCCUUUUCGAUCUGGUGAUGACCAUAGAGAUUGUACUUGGUCUAAGGUUAUUUUCUUGUCCAGGAUAAUACGAGUAGAAUUUAAAGCAAGGUAGGUGUGCAGGCUGCUGAUUUGGGGCUUGCUCGAGCAACUUUUGAUUUCUUGAUUGUUUGGUUGAUGUGGCAUUUGUUAAUGAUUGAUUCUCUAGCAAGCUUUGCUCUGUAAUUUUAGAAUCGAUGCUGCCAUAAGUUUUUCCCAUGCUUGCUUCAACUUUCUAUGUCCGGAUGACUAUAUGAACAAGACUCACUAGGUUCUGCAUCAUCAACUAACAACCAACUCCAACAAUUACCCAUGCUGGCUGUCCUAUAAAUAACCCAUUUUACAAUUGCUCACCUUUUCCAGGUAAAGACAACAUAAUCAGCUUGGUUAAUAAAUAGCACAUUCCAUAUGAAAAUUACUAUUGCAUAUACUUUACACGAUUUACCUUGGUGCUCUAGCUAUUUUGCUUAGUUGGUAAAUAAAUAUCACAUUUGUAUAUUAUCGAAAAUAGAUAGACUGUGUACCUGUGAUACUAUAUAUGCAUAAUAGCCAAUCGUGUAUAAACCAAGUGUGCUCAUAUAUAUUGGAGACAUCCAUGUCUUGGUGAUUUCCUUUACCCUACUUACUAUAUCUACCAUCAUUGGUUGUUUAAAUCCUCAACUGAUACUGUCGUCUUAUAUUACUAGAAGUUGCAGAAUAUCCGAACUACAGUCAGGAUAAUAAUGGAUCUGCUGAUGACAAGGCUAGGAAUUCCAAAGGUUGAGAUUGUCGCGGGGCUCAAAAUCUACCACUGAUUAAAGGAUAAUAAUGCAUUCUACUAUUCCACCGACUUUGUUUGUGGAAAGUCUACCAGCCCAAAAUUUAGUUUCACUUUUGUUGAAACAUUGGAUCCAUGAAUGUUUGUUUAUAUAAAGAGAAUUGAUGUGCAAUUAACUUGAACUUUAAAGUUCUAUAGUUAUUUUGUAGGCACAUAAGAGUACUGCAUCGAGAAACCAGAGACGUAUAUAGCGCGCAUAUAGAGAUUUGAGGAAGACACUGCAGGAUUAGCUCAAUCCGGACGAGGUCGUGCGGUCAUCGGCACCUUCUCCACUGUGGGAGGCCAUGGGCAAGAGGAAGGAACCGCCGACAGCUCUAGAAGGACAUGCCACCCUGAUCGUCAAGUGCAUAUGCCGUCUCUGCUUUUGUUUCCAUCGGGAGUAUUUGCCAUUGUUGGGUAUCCAUAGAAAUUCAGGGAAUAUCUAUUGUUAACAGAUUUUGUUGGGAUCCACACUCCGAAGCUGAUUUUAGGAUCAAGUGAAGGUGGACCAGUAGUAUUCAAACUUGCAUAUCUUGGCCAGCCUCCUUGUUUAGCACUAUCCCCUCAGUUGCACAAGCAGUUGGCUUGGCCAUGGCGCUGGUGCCGUUGACUCCCACUGGCCUCCUUCGUCUCCCAGCCACAGCUGGCUCUAACCCCUCUUCUGAUGUGGUCCGGUGGGAGCAAGAAGAAGAGCAGGCAUGCUCUCUCUACUUCCAGCGUCCAUAUGACCAGAUCGACCGGCCUAAACUCUGGUUGAGCUCCCCCACGACCCGAUUUCACACCUUGAUGGUUGUGUCGUAUGGUUGUCAGCAUUUGAUUGAUGAAUAUUUAAGUUUUGCUAAAUGAUCUUGCCUUAACCAUCUGCAUCUUGAUCUGAUUUAUUCUGUCAUGUUUACUUAUUUUUCCACUA